RNAcentral lists this ribosomal RNA (465 nucleotides) under Vreelandella stevensii. Its description in RNAcentral is "partial 16S ribosomal RNA". It matches the Rfam family "Bacterial small subunit ribosomal RNA", at positions 338 to 795 of the family's 1533-position model. The record is from RNAcentral. Lineage: Bacteria; Pseudomonadati; Pseudomonadota; Gammaproteobacteria; Oceanospirillales; Halomonadaceae.
CCUACGGGCGGCAGCAGUGGGGAAUAUUGGACAAUGGGGGCAACCCUGAUCCAGCCAUGCCGCGUGUGUGAAGAAGGCCCUCGGGUUGUAAAGCACUUUCAGUGAGGAAGAACGCCUGGUGGUUAAUACCCAUCAGGAAAGACAUCACUCACAGAAGAAGCACAGGCUAACUCCGUGCCAGCAGCCGCGGUAAUACGGAGGGUGCGAGCGUUAAUCGGAAUUACUGGGCGUAAAGCGCGCGUAGGUGGCUUGAUAAGCCGGUUGUGAAAGCCCCGGGCUCAACCUGGGAACGGCAUCCGGAACUGUCAAGCUAGAGUGCAGGAGAGGAAGGUAGAAUUCCCGGUGUAGCGGUGAAAUGCGUAGAGAUCGGGAGGAAUACCAGUGGCGAAGGCGGCCUUCUGGACUGACACUGACACUGAGGUGCGAAAGCGUGGGUAGCAAACAGGAUUAGAUACCCGUGUAGUC